Molecule: ribosomal RNA, 301 nt
Filed under: uncultured bacterium
Lineage: Bacteria
Description: partial 16S ribosomal RNA
Rfam family: Bacterial small subunit ribosomal RNA
Source: RNAcentral
CAGCAGCCGCGGUAAUACGGAGGGAGCUAGCGUUGUUCGGAAUUACUGGGCGUAAAGCGCGCGUAGGCGGUUACUCAAGUCAGAGGUGAAAGCCCGGGGCUCAACCCCGGAACUGCCUUUGAAACUAGGUGACUAGAAUCUUGGAGAGGUCAGUGGAAUUCCGAGUGUAGAGGUGAAAUUCGUAGAUAUUCGGAAGAACACCAGUGGCGAAGGCGACUGACUGGACAAGUAUUGACGCUGAGGUGCGAAAGCGUGGGGAGCAAACAGGAUUAGAUACCCCUGUAGUCCCUGUCUCUUAUAA